This 469-nucleotide ribosomal RNA is filed under the name uncultured bacterium. RNAcentral's name for it is "partial 16S ribosomal RNA". It matches the Rfam family "Bacterial small subunit ribosomal RNA", at positions 28 to 507 of the family's 1533-position model. The record is from RNAcentral.
GACGAACGCUGGCGGCGUGCUUAACACAUGCAAGUCGAACGGAAAGGCCCUGCUUGCAGGGUGCUCGAGUGGCGAACGGGUGAGUAACACGUGGGUGAUCUGCCCCUUACUUUGGGAUAAGCCUGGGAAACUGGGUCUAAUACUGGAUAGGACCAUGCUGUAGGUGGUGUGGUGGAAAGAUUAGUUUCGGUAAGGGAUGAGCUCGCGGCCUAUCAGCUUGUUGGUGGGGUAAUGGCCUACCAAGGCGUCGACGGGUAGCCGGCCUGGGAGGGUGGACGGCCACAUUGGGACUGGGAUACGGCCCAGACUCCUACGGGAGGCAGCAGUGGGGAAUAUUGCACAAUGGGCGCAAGCCUGAUGCAGCGACGCCGCGUGGGGGAUGACGGCCUUCGGGUUGUAAACUCCUUUCAGCCAUGACGAAGCCCUUGUGGUGACGGUAGUGGUAGAAGAAGCACCGGCUAACUACGUG